Molecule: long non-coding RNA, 471 nt
Filed under: Vulpes vulpes (red fox)
Lineage: Eukaryota; Metazoa; Chordata; Mammalia; Carnivora; Canidae
Description: lncRNA (ENSVVUG00000015174.1)
Source: RNAcentral
ACAGACUGUGCCCAGAACCCCGUUAUCUGAGGAAGGCAAAGGAGGCCAGAGGGUGAAGGAGGGUCACUUCAGCAUGAGUCAGAGUAACAGUAAUACCUUCUCAGUGACUUUUUCCAACAGUCUGGACUCUUCUGGCACUCUGUCCCAGGGCAGUUAGACAGAGAGAGCUACACCAGUCAACUGGUAACAGAGGGAAGUUGGCAGAUGUGAGCCAUCCAGAAAUUACCAUCCUUUUUCAGCCAAAGAGGAAAAAAAUAAGAUUUAGGACAAGAGAUAUGAUCGAUCUUUCCUCUUCCUUCCCCCGCAUUCUUGCCACAAAUUUUCAGAGUACUGGAACUGUAGCCAGAUGGUUCAGAGAAUCAAGAACCAAGAAUAAGAACCAAUCACACGUGAGGUGGUCAGGGCAUCAGGUAAGGAGCUUUACUUCUACAACAUCAAGUCCUCUUGCUGGUUCUUUGAGAGUAUUUGAAA